Molecule: unclassified non-coding RNA, 847 nt
Filed under: Hevea brasiliensis (rubber tree)
Lineage: Eukaryota; Viridiplantae; Streptophyta; Magnoliopsida; Malpighiales; Euphorbiaceae
Source: RNAcentral
AUUGAAUUGUAAUCAAAGCCAAAUGAAUUAAAAAAAUUUAAAACAAAAAAAUAAAACUAAAAUAAACAUACAAUAGGAACAAAUUGAUAGUAACAAAAAUUACUAUUACAAAAAAAUAAUUGUAAUACAAUAUUUAAAAGUUUGUGUAAAAAUAAAAAACAAAAGGGGAAAAAGUACAAAAAAGGAAAAGCAAGAAAAAAUGGCGAGGUUAUAUGUAGGAAAAAAAUAUAAAAUAUGUAAAAGGAUUUAAAAAAAAAAGAAAUUAGAAAAAAAAUGCAAGGAAAAUGGUCAACAAUAUCGACAAAAAACCAAGGUCGCGUGUAGAAGAAGCACAACACACCAAAGUCAUGUAGGAGAAAGAGAUAGAGAUAGGGGUAAAUUAGUCUUUUUACUGUUUUUAUGAACUGUAAGAGGAUGCUCUCUUUUAGUAUGUAUUAAUAAUAUGGCAUGUAAUAGCUUGACAAUUUAUGAUGCAUGUAGGGACAAACCCAUAUAUGGGGCUAGGGGGUCAUGGGCCCCUUUGAAGUUUCACAAGAAAUUACGACUAUAAUGAUUUACAUUUUUAAUAAAAAUUGAAAUUUAUUAUUAAUGGAAAAUAUAAUUAUUGUGUAUACAAAUUUGAAAGUCUAUAAUAUUGUUUUAUAUGUACAAAAGAUAAUAAUGGUUAUUUCUUUGAAAUUUCAAAUUUUAGUAUUAAAAAAAUGUAAAAAUUCACAUGUUGAGUAAGUAUUACCCUAAAUCUUCUGCAACAAAUUUUCACUUGCCUUUAGGCUUCAACGAUAACUAAUGACAACUAACUCUUAACCCCAAACGAGUUGCGGUAAAAUACUUACCUUUAGCCUCAAAG